UAGUAUAUAUAAACACAAAAAAUAUAGAUAGAAGCACAUUGUUUCAUGCCUUUACAUCUGUAUAUACUUAUUUAGCACAUACAAUUGCAUAAAAUCAAGCAUGUCAGAUUUCAGUCAUAAGUCUAUAUAGAAAACCCAAAGGAUUUGAGGGAAUUUGAUUUAACUGAAUUAAAUAAAACAAAAUUUGUUUAUUUAACAAAAACCAUGGCCAGCCAACAAUUUAACAAAGCUAGUAUAAAAGUGAAAAAAAAAGAAAAAAAAACUUUGAGAAAAUAAUACGUUAUACUAUACAAAUAGCCUGUUAUCUAAUGGAUUAUAUUCUAUCAUUUACUCCCACUAUCUUUUAAAAAUUAAAAAUAAAAGCAUAUCAAUAGUAUGUGAAAAUUUACCUGUUAGCUGCUCGGUUAGCUGUGCCAUCAAAUAUCGCCUUUGCCUAACUUUCUCGGGGUUUUCAUAUUGGUUUGUUGUCUUUCGCGGGUGAGAAUAGCGUGCACGACUUUUAAAUCUUUGAACCAAUGGCAAAAAUAUUUUUGAUAAAACAGGGGGUGGGGUGAAAAUGGCAGCGGGCUCAGAAUUGAGCCUGGUCAGUGGUAAUUUCAUUAGCCGGAGGAACCAGUUGUCAUGGAAAUGGCGUCAUAUGGCGCGAAAAUCCGCCAUGUUUUUGGCGACACUUUUUGAUGCCGAGCACGUCCUCCAGUAAUAUAGUAUAGCUCAGUGGGCACAUCCGAAGGAUUCAAAUUCCCGCCAAAACAACACCGCGGCAAAAAUUUGUUUCCAUCUACCAAACUAACAUUACUUCAAUAGUUAAAAAAUCGUUUUCCAGUUUAUUUGUUUGGAUUUCAAGUAAGGCUUAGGGUUUACGUUUGGGUCAACGUUUGUUAUGUUUUUAAUAGUAAGUAUUAACAGAAAUGGAUAACAGCAAUGUCACUUUGAUAGAUGGAAACAAGUGAUGACCAUAAUGGUGGGAAUCUAGACAGUCUAAACAACAUGAAAAGCGAUGUUUUCAAUGGGAAAUUUAUAAUUACCAUUAAACGCACAACUACAGCGAUAAAAAUUCGCUGGAUAAAAAUCCGAG
Non-coding RNA from Paramuricea clavata, 1075 nucleotides. The record is from the annotation of a GenBank genome assembly. NCBI's taxonomy places the organism in Eukaryota, Metazoa, Cnidaria, Anthozoa, Malacalcyonacea, Plexauridae.